Molecule: microRNA, 21 nt
Filed under: Homo sapiens (human)
Lineage: Eukaryota; Metazoa; Chordata; Mammalia; Primates; Hominidae
Description: hsa-miR-6779-5p
Source: miRBase by way of RNAcentral
CUGGGAGGGGCUGGGUUUGGC